Molecule: ribosomal RNA, 315 nt
Filed under: Trypanosoma rangeli
Lineage: Eukaryota; Euglenozoa; Kinetoplastea; Trypanosomatida; Trypanosomatidae
Description: SSU rRNA
Source: RNAcentral
ACCGUUUCGGCUUUUGUUGGUUUUAAAAGUCCAUUGGAGAUUAUGGGGCAGUGUGACAAGCGGCUGGGUGAUUCCCCCUUCAAUGGGGGCACUCGUCGCCUUUGUGGGAAAUCAGUGACGGUAGUGCUGCUGUAUUGUUUGCUUGUGCGUAUGUCUGGACACCUUUUCGGUGCUCAGGCCGACGUACGGCGCAUUACACACACUGCCAUCGCCUUCCCUCAACUCAUGGCAUCCAGGAAUGAAGGAGGGUAGUUCGGGGGAGAACGUACUGGUGCGUCAGAGGUGAAAUUCUUAGACCGCACCAAGACGAACUAC